UCAACUGUUUUAUUGCACCUCAGAUCUCUAAUUCUGAUUCCCCUCCAGACGACUGUGAAGAAAGGAAUCAUCUCGUACCUAGAUUUGGCGUUCGCACUUGGAGAUUCAUGACAGGCCGCCGUACAGCAUAGAAGACUGUUCACAAGGCUGAUGGUGGCAUUACCUGCGUUCGAAUCACCUCAAGAUAGAAUUGAAAGAAAAUGGAGCAGUGAUGACAUCUUGCACUACACAGAUUUAUGUCCAAUCAGAUGCUCUCUUGAAGGAGAAUGUCCUGCCCCCUUAUGCCGCAUACAACUGACUAGUAAGUAGUAAAUCAUGGCAGUUACGUGGCUAUUUAAAAAAAUUUAAAAAACAGAUUAUCUA
Molecule: long non-coding RNA, 363 nt
Filed under: Sinocyclocheilus anshuiensis
Lineage: Eukaryota; Metazoa; Chordata; Actinopteri; Cypriniformes; Cyprinidae
Description: lncRNA (ENSSANG00000020451.1)
Source: RNAcentral